Molecule: ribosomal RNA, 341 nt
Filed under: uncultured bacterium
Lineage: Bacteria
Description: partial 16S ribosomal RNA
Rfam family: Bacterial small subunit ribosomal RNA
Source: RNAcentral
CCUACGGGAGGCAGCAGUGGGGAAUAUUGCACAAUGGGCGAAAGCCUGAUGCAGCAACGCCGCGUGAAGGAAGACGGUUUUCGGAAUGUAAACUUCUGUUCUUAGUGAAGCAUAAUGACGGUAACGAAGGAGCAAGCCACGGCUAACUACGAGCCAGCAGCCGCGGGAAUACGGAGGGGGCAAGCGUUGUCCGGAAUUACUGGGUGUAAAGGGAGCGUAGGCGGGAAGCCAAGUCAGCUGUGAAAACUACGGGCGUAACCUGGAGACUGCAGUGGAAACUGGCUUUCGUGAGUGAAGGAGGGGUUGGCGGAAGGCGGGGGGUAGCGGUGAAAUGCGUAGAU